GGAUACCCGAGGGAAACUUCGGUUAAUACGGUAUAAGACCACACUACCGCAUGGUAGAGGGGUAAAAGGGGCAACCUGGUAUGAGAUGGACUCGCGUCGCAUUAGCUAGUUGGUGAGGUGACGGCCCACCAAGGCGACGAUGCGUAGCCGACCUGAGAGGGUGAUCGGCCACAUUGGGACUGAGAUACGGCCCAGACUCCUACGGGAGGCAGCAGUGGGGAAUAUUGGGCAAUGGAGGAAACUCUGACCCAGCAAUGCCGCGUGAAUGAAGAAGGUCUUCGGAUUGUAAAGUUCUUUAGCCAGGGAAGAAGUCAAUGACGGUACCUGAAGAAUAAGCUCCGGCUAACUACGUGCCAGCAGCCGCGGUAAUACGUAGGGAGCAAGCGUUGUUCGGAAUGACUGGGCGUAAAGGGUGCGUAGGCGGUUGUACAAGUUAGAAGUGAAAUACCCAGGGCUUAACUCGGGUGCUGCUUCUAAAACUGUAUGACUUGAGUGCAGUAGAGGUUAGUGGAAUUCCUAGUGUAGCGGUGGAAUGCGUAGAUAUUAGGAGGAACACCAGAGGCGAAGGCGGCUAACUGGACUGCAACUGACGCUGAGGCACGAAAGUGUGGGGAGCAAACAGGAUUAGAUACCCUGGUAGUCCACACUGUAAACGAUGCAUAAUGGAUGUAGGAGGUAUCGACUCCUUCUGCGUCGCA
This 698-nucleotide ribosomal RNA is filed under the name uncultured bacterium. RNAcentral describes it as "bacterial SSU rRNA". It matches the Rfam family "Bacterial small subunit ribosomal RNA", at positions 141 to 850 of the family's 1533-position model. The record is from RNAcentral.